This is a long non-coding RNA of Notothenia coriiceps (black rockcod), 287 nucleotides long. RefSeq lists it as uncharacterized. The transcript has 3 exons. The record is from RefSeq and is a predicted model, not a curated record. Lineage: Eukaryota; Metazoa; Chordata; Actinopteri; Perciformes; Nototheniidae.
UCUCGCUCAGUAAACAUGGCGGAUGGCUAACGGCUGCAUAUAGAAGACUUUGGAUACCUCUUUCAGAAACAACACGUGUCUUUAUUUACUUCUGAUACGCUGAGCAGCGCGUGCGGGGCUUUGUGCUCUUAAGGGAUUGUUUUCUUUAUUAAAAGGUGAAGGAGACGCAGCGACACAAUGGGGCGACGCUCGACCUCCUCCACCAAGAGUGGGAAGUUCAUGAAUCCCACCGACCAGGCCAGAAAGGAGGCCAGGAAAAGGGAGUUAAAAAAGGUAAACAUCAGACA